RNAcentral lists this ribosomal RNA (253 nucleotides) under uncultured bacterium. Its description in RNAcentral is "partial 16S ribosomal RNA". It matches the Rfam family "Bacterial small subunit ribosomal RNA", at positions 524 to 776 of the family's 1533-position model. The record is from RNAcentral.
UACGAAAGGGGCUAGCGUUGUUCGGAAUUACUGGGCGUAAAGCGCACGUAGGCGGCCUUGUAAGAUGGGGGUGAAAUCCCCGGGCUCAACCCGGGAACUGCCUUAAUGACUGCAAAGCUAGAGGAUGCGAGAGGUUAGCGGAAUUCCGAGUGUAGAGGUGAAAUUCGUAGAUAUUCGGAAGAACACCAGUGGCGAAGGCGGCUAACUGGCGCAUUUCUGACGCUGAGGUGCGAAAGCGUGGCGCGCUAACAGG